GCAGUAGCUUGCUGAUGCUCCCAGCUGAAUAAAGCCCUUCCUUCUACAACUUGGUGUCUGAGAGGUUUUGUCUGCAGCUCGUCCCGCUACAGUUCUUGGUUCCCUGACCGGGAAGCGAGGUAACUGAUGGACAGCUGAGGCAGCCUGUUAGGCGGCUUAGGCCUGCUCUGUGGAGCAUCCCUGCGGAGGACUCUGGCCAGCCUGAGUGACGCGAACCAGAGUGCUCCCAGGUAGGCAGUUUUCCUGGUAGAACACCUCAUCAGAGCAGUGCGUAGCAGGCCCCCACAGAGGAUUAACACAGUAGCUGAACACCGGGAAGGAACUGGCACUUGGAGUCCGGACAUCUGAAACUUGUUUAUUCUAGUGGGCCUAACCUCUGAGACCAUCCUUAAACAUCUGUAGACUGGGAGCUGUACGUGGAUGGGAGCAGCUUUGCUAACCCCUGCAAAGUGACUCUGAAAAAGACAAGCCCUGCUCCAGUCACACCCUGAAGCUGACUGAUCCACGCACGGCUGAAGCAUGAGGAAACUCAUCAUGGGAUUCAUUUUCCUUAAAAUUUGGACUUGUACUGUAAGGACUUCAACUGACCUUCCUAAGACUGAGGGCUGUUCCUUCCUAAGACAUCAAGUCUCUGAGGUAGGACAAAAGAUUGCUACAGUCCUAUUAUUUUAUAGUUAUUAUAAGUGUACCAGGACUCUAAAAGAAACUUGUUUGUAUAAUGAUAUUCUAUCCAAGGUAUGUAGCCCAGGAAAUAACCAACCUGAUGCGUGUUAUAACUCAUUUUAAGCCUCCCAUGAUCACAGUUUUUAAAAUAAGACUAAGGACUGGUCCUUUUCUAAGUGACACAAGUAAAGUAAUAGCUAGAACAGAA
Molecule: non-coding RNA, 871 nt
Organism: Chlorocebus sabaeus (green monkey)
Lineage: Eukaryota; Metazoa; Chordata; Mammalia; Primates; Cercopithecidae
Source: RefSeq, a predicted model, not a curated record